This 85-nucleotide transfer RNA is filed under the name Felis catus (domestic cat). It matches the Rfam family "tRNA". From Rfam's summary of the family: Transfer RNA (tRNA) molecules are approximately 80 nucleotides in length. Their secondary structure includes four short double-helical elements and three loops (D, anti-codon, and T loops). The record is from Rfam by way of RNAcentral. Lineage: Eukaryota; Metazoa; Chordata; Mammalia; Carnivora; Felidae.
GCCUGGGUGGUUCAGUCAGGUGAGUGUCUGACUUCCGCUCAGGUCAUGAUCUCAUGGUUCGUGGGUUCAAGCCCCACAUUGGGCU